AACUAAUAUUUGUCUUGCAGUGAAACAUUUGUGAAAGCAGCUGGUCCCAGAGGUGAGGUGUUCCAAGCUCCCAUUUUGGAGCCAAGUACGUACGCUGUGGAGUCAGUCAUGACACCCCUUUAUAGAGAACAGACAAUGACUUUUGGAUCUUUUUCAGAGCCUGGUCUGGACAGUUUCUGACUGAUACAAACAAGCUGAGCUGACUGCAGUGAGCAGCUGAAGUUCUGAACGUGCACACACCGUGCUUGUGGUAAGUGUUUAGCAGUGGAUUUUUAUCUUCACCAAAAAAUAAACUCU
Molecule: long non-coding RNA, 297 nt
Filed under: Junco hyemalis (dark-eyed junco)
Lineage: Eukaryota; Metazoa; Chordata; Aves; Passeriformes; Passerellidae
Description: lncRNA (ENSJHYG00000016337.1)
Source: RNAcentral